Molecule: ribosomal RNA, 494 nt
Filed under: uncultured bacterium
Lineage: Bacteria
Description: partial 16S ribosomal RNA
Rfam family: Bacterial small subunit ribosomal RNA
Source: RNAcentral
GACGAACGCUGGCGGCGUGCUUAACACAUGCAAGUCGAACGGUGAAGCGCCUUCCUUUUUGGUGGGUGUGGAUGAGUGGCGAACGGGUGAGUAACACGUGAGUAGCCUGCCCCCUUCUUCUGGAUAACCGCAUGAAAGUGUGGCUAAUACGGGAUAUUCUGGGUCUGUCGCAUGAUGGGUCUGGGAAAGAUAUUGUUUCGGUGGGGGAUGGGCUCGCGGCCUAUCAGCUUGUUGGUGGGGUGAUGGCCUACCAAGGCGGUGACGGGUAGCCGGCCUGAGAGGGUGGACGGUCACACUGGGACUGAGACACGGACCAGACUCCUACGGGAGGCAGCAGUGGGGAAUAUUGCACAGUGGGCGCAAGCCUGAUGCAGCGACGCCGCGUGAGGGAUGGAGGCCUUCGGGUUGUGAACCUCUUUCGCCAGUGAAGCAGGCCUGCCUCGUUUGUGGGUGGGUUGACGGCAGCUGGAUAAGAAGCGCCGGCUAACUACGUG